GGCCGUAGGAGGGGCUGGUGGUGGGCAGUCCCACAGCAGGGAUGUGUGGAGCACUGCUGGGACUCUCCCUGUGUGACUGGAGGAAAAUUAAGAUGUGAACUGGAAUUCCAUCAGGCUGUCUACUGUGAAGCCCCGUGGCUUUAGAAAAGGGGCAGUAGUGGUCAGAAAUGACACUCAAAAGCAAAUAACAGGGAAUUAGUAGAAUUCCAGUUCCUGUGGAAGAGAGAAGAUGAUUUUAUUUCACACAACCGUCUAAGGAAAACACUUGUGCCAUAAUAUUCCUCUCCGGAGGUGUCUUGCUGGAGGAACUGUCCCCGCUCCAGCCCCGAGGAGAACACUCUGAUGAAGACUCAUGUCUCUGUGCCACCACGGAAACUUCUCAGGCCAUUGUGUCAGUCUACUUUAGCUCCUUCAAGGAGCCAUCUCGCCGCUGCCAAGUGGAUUAGCUCCCGGAGGGGCUGCGGGCUCCCCCCGCCCAG
Molecule: long non-coding RNA, 479 nt
Organism: Hirundo rustica (Barn swallow)
Lineage: Eukaryota; Metazoa; Chordata; Aves; Passeriformes; Hirundinidae
Exons: 5
Source: RefSeq, a predicted model, not a curated record